Molecule: long non-coding RNA, 230 nt
Organism: Liolophura sinensis
Lineage: Eukaryota; Metazoa; Mollusca; Polyplacophora; Chitonida; Chitonidae
Exons: 3
Source: RefSeq, a predicted model, not a curated record
ACCUGUGUCAGUGUUCAGAAGAAGCCACACAAUCAUCUACAGGGCAAUGUCUGGCUACGUCAAGCAAAUCCACAGCCUCGGUUGGCCCUGCUACAAAAACAACAGCCGGUUCAAACCUAAACAGAAAUGUACAGAACGAUUGUAAUGCCUUAACAGUCGGACUCGCAGUAGGAUUCGGGGAAGCUCUUUGUAUCACGGUGAUCGUUGUUGUUGUUGUUCUUAUUUGGUAA